Molecule: ribosomal RNA, 475 nt
Filed under: Smithiomyces heterosporus
Lineage: Eukaryota; Fungi; Basidiomycota; Agaricomycetes; Agaricales; Agaricaceae
Description: partial large subunit ribosomal RNA
Rfam family: Eukaryotic large subunit ribosomal RNA
Source: RNAcentral
UUUUUUUUUUUUACUUGGUGCACUUUCUGGUUGACGGGUCAGCAUCAAUUUUGAUCACUGGAAAAAGGCUUGAGAAAUGUGGCAGCUCCGGCUGUGUUAUAGUCUUGGGUCACAUACAGUGAUUGGGAUUGAGGAACUCAGCACGCCGCAAGGCCGGGUUUCGACCACGUUCGUGCUUAGGAUGCUGGCAUAAUGGCUUUAAGCGACCCGUCUUGAAACACGGACCAAGGAGUCUAACAUGCUUGCGAGUGUUUGGGUGGUAAACCCGAGCGCGUAAUGAAAGUGAAAGUUGAGAUCCCUGUCGUGGGGAGCAUCGACGCCCGGACCAGAACUUUUGGGACGGAUCCGCGGUGGAGCAUGUAUGUUGGGACCCGAAAGAUGGUGAACUAUGCCUGAAUAGGGUGAAGCCAGAGGAAACUCUGGUGGAGGCUCGUAGCGAUUCUGACGUGCAAAUCGAUCGUCAAAUUUGGGUAUA